AAGAACCAACAGGGAUUGCCCCAGUAACGGCGAGUGAAGCGGCAACAGCUCAAAUUUGAAAUCUGGCUCUCAGGGCCCGAGUUGUAAUUUGUAGAGGAUGCUUUUGGCGAGGUGCCUUCCGAGUUCCCUGGAACGGGACGCCACAGAGGGUGAGAGCCCCGUAUGGUCGGACACCGAGCCUCUGUAAAGCUCCUUCGACGAGUCGAGUAGUUUGGGAAUGCUGCUCAAAAUGGGAGGUAUAUGUCUUCUAAAGCUAAAUAUUGGCCAGAGACCGAUAGCGCACAAGUAGAGUGAUCGAAAGAUGAAAAGCACUUUGAAAAGAGGGUUAAAAAGUACGUGAAAUUGUUGAAAGGGAAGCGCCUAUGACCAGACUUGCGCCCGGUGAAUCACCCAGCGUUCUCGCUGGUGCACUUUGCCGGGCACAGGCCAGCAUCAGUUCAGCGCGGGGGAGAAAGGCUUCGGGAAUGUGGCUCCCUCGGGAGUGUUAUAGCCCGCUGCGUAAUGCCCUGCGCCGGACUGAGGUACGCGCAUUGCAAGGAUGCUGGCGUAAUGGUCAUCAGCGACCCGUCUUGAAACACGGACCAAGGAGUCGUCUUCGUAUGCGAGUGUUCGGGUGUCAAACCCCUACGCGUAAUGAAAGUGAACGCAGGUGAGAGCUUCGGCGCAUCACCGACCGAUCCUGAUGUUCUCGGAUGGAUUUGAGUAAGAGCAUACGGGGCCGGACCCGAAAGAAGGUGAACUAUGCCUGUAUAGGGUGAAGCCAGAGGAAACUCUGGUGGAGGCUCGCAGCGGUUCUGACGUGCGAAUCGAUCGUCAAAUAUGGGCAUGGGGGCGAAAG
Molecule: ribosomal RNA, 838 nt
Filed under: Beauveria bassiana
Lineage: Eukaryota; Fungi; Ascomycota; Sordariomycetes; Hypocreales; Cordycipitaceae
Description: partial large subunit ribosomal RNA
Rfam family: Eukaryotic large subunit ribosomal RNA
Source: RNAcentral